GGCACGCGAGCUGGGUUCAGAACGUCGUGAGACAGUUCGGUCCCUAUCCGUCGCGGGCGUAGGAAAUUUGAGAGGAGCUGUCCUUAGUACGAGAGGACCGGGAUGGACUGACCUAUGGUGUACCAGUUGUUUCGCCAGAAGCAUAGCUGGGUAGCUAAGUCGGGAAGGGAUAAACGCUGAAAGCAUCUAAGUGUGAAGCCCACCUCAAGAUGAGAUUUCCCAUAGCAUAAGCUAGUAAGACCCCUUGAAGACUACAAGGUUGAUAGGUCAGAGGUGUAAGUAUGGUAACAUAUUUAGCUGACUGAUACUAAUAGGUCGAGGGCUUGACCAA
Molecule: ribosomal RNA, 331 nt
Filed under: Bacillota bacterium
Lineage: Bacteria; Bacillati; Bacillota
Description: partial 23S ribosomal RNA
Rfam family: Bacterial large subunit ribosomal RNA
Source: RNAcentral